ACAGAGGGUGCGAGCGUUAAUCGGAUUUACUGGGCGUAAAGCGUGCGUAGGCGGCUUUUUAAGUCGGAUGUGAAAUCCCUGAGCUUAACUUAGGAAUUGCAUUCGAUACUGGGAAGCUAGAGUAUGGGAGAGGAUGGUAGAAUUCCAGGUGUAGCGGUGAAAUGCGUAGAGAUCUGGAGGAAUACCGAUGGCGAAGGCAGCCAUCUGGCCUAAUACUGACGCUGAGGUACGAAAGCAUGGGGAGCAAACAGGAUUAGAUACCCUGGUAGUCCAUGCCGUAAACGAUGUCUACUAGCCGUUGGGGCCUUUGAGGCUUUAGUGGCGCAGCUAACGCGAUAAGUAGACCGCCUGGGGAGUACGGUCGCAAGACUA
RNAcentral lists this ribosomal RNA (372 nucleotides) under uncultured bacterium. RNAcentral's name for it is "bacterial SSU rRNA". It matches the Rfam family "Bacterial small subunit ribosomal RNA", at positions 525 to 896 of the family's 1533-position model. The record is from RNAcentral.